This 301-nucleotide ribosomal RNA is filed under the name uncultured bacterium. RNAcentral's name for it is "partial 16S ribosomal RNA". It matches the Rfam family "Bacterial small subunit ribosomal RNA", at positions 509 to 807 of the family's 1533-position model. The record is from RNAcentral.
CAGUCGCCGCGGGAAUACGUAGGGUGCAAGCGUUAAUCGGAAUUACUGGGCGUAAAGCGUGCGCAGGCGGUUAUAUAAGACAGAUGUGAAAUCCCCGGGCUCAACCUGGGAACUGCAUUUGUGACUGUAUAGCUAGAGUACGGCAGAGGGGGAUGGAAUUCCGCGUGUAGCAGUGAAAUGCGUAGAUAUGCGGAGGAACACCGAUGGCGAAGGCAAUCCCCUGGGCCUGCACUGACGCUCAUGCACGAAAGCGUGGGGAGCAAACAGGAUUAGAUACCCCAGUAGUCCCUGUCUCUUAUAC